AUUCGAUAUUUCGUAAUCGGCUCGCGACGUUAACUUAGCCCAACGUAACCUGUACUUCUUUGAGCUAAGAAAUAGUUGGUCACAUUAAUCAUACCGCAGCCCGAAGAUGUAUACGCGCUUUCCCGACGUCUCCAGUAUGAUGCACUCUCACAGAAACAGGGCUCCCUACUGUGGAAGAGAGAACCAAACAAAACACUUUAAAGCUAAUCCAUAAACUUUUUCAAUGCAAGAACGCAGUUGUAUUCGAUGCAGCCAGCUCAGUGGUUAGAAGCAAAAAUGUAUUGUGUCGCACAUCAACCAUAACAAGGUGCAUAGAUGCAGCGAAGAAUAUAGGAAUGCCCACUAAACCGGUCAAGAUUAAUAUCAACUAUCCUCCGCCCUGGAUGAACUUAGAGUCGUCUAUUAUCCUCGAGAUCAGCAAAAGAAACAAGAGCAGUACACCACCAUCAGUCUAUAGACAAAUAUUCAAACAGCUCGCAGCAAGUUUCGAAGAUCAGGGAUGGAAAUUCAUCUAUACCGAUGGAACAAAGGUCCACUCCACCACAGCUUUCGCUGUUGUAAACGCAAAUCACGAGACAAUCACAGCUGGUCAUUUACUAUCCUUCUGCUCAGUAUACACUGCUGAAGCCAACGCUAUACUCUGAGCAACGCAAUAUGCCCUCGGUACCAAGGAGAAAUACAUAAUUUCAGUCAACUUAUCGGCUAUACAAUCUAUCCUUAAUAUGUCUAAUAUGGAUAACCUGACCAGAUUAAUACGCAAUGCACUUUACAAAGGAGGAAAAUCAAUAAAAAUUAUGUGGGUUCCAAGCCAUGUUUUAAUCCCUGGCAACGAAGCAGCUGACGAAAGAGUAAAGCUUGCAGCUAAAGAACCCCUUAUUGUGGAGAAUGCCUUUUCGAAAAAAGACAUCUACAGGCUGGCAAGUGAACAAAUAUACAAAACUAAGCUGGAAAAAUGGAAGGAUUUCAAGCACCACUACGCAAACGUUAACGUAAAUGGCGAGAAACCUAUAUUUCCGGAGAAGAUCAGCAGCAACAAUUUAAAAGCGUUUAUUAGACUACGUAUUGGACAUACGAUUGUUACCCAUGAAUCUGUCCUGAAAGGUUCGAGGUCGCCACAGUGCCCCUAUUGCAACGUGGAAACAAUCACCGUAACUCAUCUCCUCGACAGAUGUCAGCAUUUCGCUACAAUCAGAGCUAGCAUCUUCAACAACUUUGCAUCCAAGUUAUUGAAAAACCAGGACAUUGAAUCGAUAUCUAAUAUUAAUGAAUUCCUUAGGUUAACGAAUCUUAAGAAAUUAAUCUAGUCUUAAUUAUCUGUAAGAAGCAAUUUAGGUUAAUGUAAGUACUGAACAUAUGUAUAUAUAUAUUAAUGAGCGAGCCGAAGGUGAUCAUACUAGCGCUCCUUUUUCCGAAAAAAUAACCCUCAUUCGUUCAACUCCGGCUACGUACAAAAUCCAUAACGUAUGCAUGUGCGUAGAGAUGAGCAGACUUCCGAGCCCAGUUUAGUGGGGCGCAGGACUAGAUCAAACCAAACCAAAAAAUUCUCAGUUAUUAUCCAAUCAACAGCCUCUGAGAAAUUUUCAACCAGAGCAGUCGGCGGAGGAUCAACCACUACAUUUGGU
Long non-coding RNA from Rhagoletis zephyria (snowberry fruit fly), 1622 nucleotides. RefSeq lists it as uncharacterized. The record is from RefSeq and is a predicted model, not a curated record. NCBI's taxonomy places the organism in Eukaryota, Metazoa, Arthropoda, Insecta, Diptera, Tephritidae.